This 64-nucleotide small RNA is filed under the name Tupaia belangeri (northern tree shrew). RNAcentral describes it as "Y RNA (ENSTBEG00000020862.1)". The record is from RNAcentral. Lineage: Eukaryota; Metazoa; Chordata; Mammalia; Scandentia; Tupaiidae.
AGUUGGUCCGAGGAUUGUGAGUUAACACAGUCUCCCUCCCACAUCCAUAUCUGAUUAGCUGGGG